GGGGAUGAAUUAGGUUCGACGGGGAAGGUUGAGCGCAUACUGCGAGCCGAGGCGCCUGUCCGCGUCAAAACGGGCAAACCAGUAAGUGCGAACAAGCGCACUGCACCUGCUCUCGCAAUGGCUGCAUAAGCAACCUGAGCGAGGGGUGCUGACCUGCGGGUCAGCCGUCUGCCUGCUCUGAGCUCGGCCGGGGCAGCUGCGGGCGUGACCGAGGCUGAGCUGCUGCGCCGUGAUACCGAUAAGCGGCGUUUAAGAUCAUUCGGUUGGCUGAGCAAGUGACCUUGUCAGGAAGGGCAGGCUCAGCGAGAUGAAAAUCGCCUGACUACGCUCGUAGAGGUAUGCGGGAGAGCUUCUUCGGACCCGGGCUGCAAUGCCCGGCAUCUCCACUC
Molecule: transfer-messenger RNA, 389 nt
Filed under: Chloroflexota bacterium
Lineage: Bacteria; Bacillati; Chloroflexota
Also listed under: 1 other name
Rfam family: transfer-messenger RNA
About the family: Bacterial tmRNA, also known as 10Sa RNA or SsrA, is named for its dual tRNA and mRNA-like properties. Its role is to liberate the mRNA from a stalled ribosome. To accomplish this part of the tmRNA is used as a reading frame that ends in a translation stop signal.
Source: RNAcentral